Molecule: ribosomal RNA, 515 nt
Filed under: uncultured bacterium
Lineage: Bacteria
Description: bacterial SSU rRNA
Rfam family: Bacterial small subunit ribosomal RNA
Source: RNAcentral
GAGUUUGAUCGUGGCUCAGGACGAACGCUGGCGGCGUGCUUAACACAUGCAAGUCGAACGAAGCUUGAUUACGGAUUCUUCGGAUGAAGUAUGAUAUGACUGAGUGGCGGACGGGUGAGUAACGCGUGAGUAACCUGCCCUUCAGAGGGGGAUAGCGUUUGGAAACGAACGGUAAUACCGCAUAAUGUAUUUUGACCGCAUGAUCGAAAUACCAAAGAUUUAUCGCUGAAGGAUGGACUCGCGUCUGAUUAGGUAGUUGGUGGGGUAACGGCCUACCAAGCCGACGAUCAGUAGCCGGACUGAGAGGUUGAUCGGCCACAUUGGGACUGAGACACGGCCCAGACUCCUACGGGAGGCAGCAGUGGGGAAUAUUGCACAAUGGGCGCAAGCCUGAUGCAGCAACGCCGCGUGAAGGAAGACGGUUUUCGGAUUGUAAACUUCUGUUCUUAGUGAAGAAUAAUGACGGUAGCUAAGGAGCAAGCCACGGCUAACUACGUGCCAGCAGCCGCCGUAAC